AAAUGAAUAGACGGGGGCCCGCACAAGCAGUGGAGUAUGUGGUUUAAUUCGACGCAACGCGAAGAACCUUACCAAGGCUUGACAUAUACAGGAAUAUUAUAGAAAUAUAAUAGCUCUUCGGAGUCUGUAUACAGGUGGUGCAUGGUUGUCGUCAGCUCGUGUCGUGAGAUGUUAGGUUAAGUCCUGCAACGAGCGCAACCCCUAUUUCCAGUUGCCAGCACGUAAUGGUGGGAACUCUGGAGAGACUGCCGGUAAUAAAUCGGAGGAAGGUGGGGAUGAUGUCAAAUCAUCAUGCCCUUUAUGUCUUGGGCAACACACGUACUACAAUGGCCGUUACAAAGAGAAGCAACACAGUGAUGUGAAGCAAAACUUAAAAAAGCGGUCUCAGUUCGGACUGAAGGCUGAAAUUCGCCUUCACGAAGUCGGAAUUGCUAGUAAUGGCAGGUCAGCAUACUGCCGUGAAUACGUUCCCGGGCCUUGUACACACCGCCCGU
Molecule: ribosomal RNA, 494 nt
Filed under: uncultured bacterium
Lineage: Bacteria
Description: bacterial SSU rRNA
Rfam family: Bacterial small subunit ribosomal RNA
Source: RNAcentral